CAAGGUAGCUCCAUUCAUACUGCUGGUUCUAUAUCUAUGGGUGAGAAGGAACGUAGGAUGGAGAAUGAAACAGGAGUCAAGCCUCCAGUGGAGGAGGUAUUUGCUAUUUGCCAUAUCAGAAAGGAUAAGAAAUGGGUUGAUAGUAGAGCUGAGCAUGCCUAUGGAGCUUUUAAGAAGAGAAAAGCAGAGCUUUUGGAAAUAUCUAUGUCUCAAAAUCAAGAGGAAGAAGGAUUGUCUUC
This is a long non-coding RNA of Medicago truncatula (barrel medic), 239 nucleotides long. RefSeq lists it as uncharacterized. Lineage: Eukaryota; Viridiplantae; Streptophyta; Magnoliopsida; Fabales; Fabaceae. The record is from RefSeq and is a predicted model, not a curated record. The transcript is spliced from 3 exons.